Molecule: long non-coding RNA, 626 nt
Organism: Protopterus annectens (West African lungfish)
Lineage: Eukaryota; Metazoa; Chordata; Ceratodontiformes; Protopteridae
Exons: 2
Source: RefSeq, a predicted model, not a curated record
AAUUCCGCCUUGUACAAAUUACUUUUAACAGUGUGUAAGUCCUAACAAAACAUGUACCAAGUCAUCCCCGUGAUCCCUCCAAAGUCAAGGCUUAAAAGUCAAGCUGUUGAGCAUUUCAGUGUUGACUAGUGGACAAAGUGUGACAAGCUACAGAGAAAAUCAACGCUAACAGGGAGGCACAUGCUGAGAGAAUGGCAUAACUUAGAGAGCCAAGGGACAUGUCUACAGCGCAAGGGAUCCUGAUUGUAGUAAUUAUUGUGAUUCCAUAGAUCAACAGAAACUUCAUCAUGCAUACCUUAACUGUAACACAAGCGUGCAUGCUUUCUGCUAUAGCUGCUAGUAACUGUAUUAGACAAGUAUAGUAAUGUGUUUCAGAUUAUAUGGGUUCAAUUCCCACAACUAACCUAUAGAGCUACACUUACCAACCAUGAUUUUUAAAGUUACAAUGCAGCAGUAUUGGCCUUAAUGCCAUAUUAUUAACUUACUCUAUAGUAUCGUUAAAGGUAUUUAUGGAAUAUGUGCACAUUCCAAGGAUUACUUGUAACAAUUCACAAUCCUUUUUGGGAGUGUGAAGGCUCUAUAGCAAGGAUAAUAAUAAAUGGCUAUUUAUUGCAGUAGAAAAUGAA